GACGAACGCUGGCGGCGUGCUUAACACAUGCAAGUCGAACGGAAAGGCCCUGCUUUUGUGGGGUGCUCGAGUGGCGAACGGGUGAGUAACACGUGAGUAACCUGCCCUUGACUUUGGGAUAACUUCAGGAAACUGGGGCUAAUACCGGAUAGGAGCUCCUGCUGCAUGGUGGGGGUUGGAAAGUUUCGGCGGUUGGGGAUGGACUCGCGGCUUAUCAGCUUGUUGGUGGGGUAGUGGCUUACCAAGGCUUUGACGGGUAGCCGGCCUGAGAGGGUGACCGGCCACAUUGGGACUGAGAUACGGCCCAGACUCCUACGGGAGGCAGCAGUGGGGAAUAUUGCACAAUGGGCGGAAGCCUGAUGCAGCAACGCCGCGUGCGGGAUGACGGCCUUCGGGUUGUAAACCGCUUUCGCCUGUGACGAAGCGUGAGUGACGGUAAUGGGUAAAGAAGCACCGGCUAACUACGUGUCAGCAGCCGCGGUGAUACGUAGGGUGCGAGCGUUGUCCGGAUUUAUUGGGCGUAAAGGGCUCGUAGGUGGUUGAUCGCGUCGGAAGUGUAAUCUUGGGGCUUAACCCUGAGCGUGCUUUCGAUACGGGUUGACUUGAGGAAGGUAGGGGAGAAUGGAAUUCCUGGUGGAGCGGUGGAAUGCGCAGAUAUCAGGAGGAACACCAGUGGCGAAGGCGGUUCUCUGGGCCUUUCCUGACGCUGAGGAGCGAAAGCGUGGGGAGCGAACAGGCUUAGAUACCCUGGUAGUCCACGCUGUAAACGGUGGGUACUAGGUGUGGGGUCCAUUCCACGGGUUCCGUGCCGUAGCUAACGCUUUAAGUACCCCGCCUGGGGAGUACGGCCGCAGGGCUAAAACUCAAAGGAAUUGACGGGGCCCCGCACAAGCGGCGGAGCAUGCGGAUUAAUUCGAUGCAACGCGUAGAACCUUACCUGGGUUUGACAUGGAUCGGGAGUGCUCAGAGAUGGGUGUGCCUCUUUUGGGGUCGGUUCACAGGUGGUGCAUGGCUGUCGUCAGCUCGUGUCGUGAGAUGUUGGGUUAAGUCCCGCAACGAGCGCAACCCUUGUUCACUGUUGCCAGCACGUUAUGGUGGGGACUCAGUGGAGACCGCCGGGGUCAACUCGGAGGAAGGUGGGGAUGACGUCAAGUCAUCAUGCCCCUUAUGUCCAGGGCUUCACGCAUGCUACAAUGGCUGGUACAGAGAGUGGCGAGCCUGUGAGGGUGAGCGAAUCUCGGAAAGCCGGUCUCAGUUCGGAUUGGGGUCUGCAACUCGACCUCAUGAAGUCGGAGUCGCUAGUAAUCGCAGAUCAGCAACGCUGCGGUGAAUACGUUCCCGGG
This 1343-nucleotide ribosomal RNA is filed under the name uncultured bacterium. Its description in RNAcentral is "16S ribosomal RNA". It matches the Rfam family "Bacterial small subunit ribosomal RNA", at positions 28 to 1378 of the family's 1533-position model. The record is from RNAcentral.